Long non-coding RNA from Gasterosteus aculeatus aculeatus (three-spined stickleback), 3233 nucleotides. The record is from Ensembl. Lineage: Eukaryota; Metazoa; Chordata; Actinopteri; Perciformes; Gasterosteidae.
AGUGGGUGUGUGCAUGUGCGCAUGUGUGUGGGUGUGUGAUUGUGUGCAGCAGCAAAGCCUUAAACAUGGACAUUUCUAUGACCUGCAAGAUAAACAACGCUGAAUUCCUGAAACGUGCUGGCUGGUAAAGAAAAAGUGGGAAUGUGUUGGAGGGACUUCUGAAGAAUUUGAAAUAAUACAGUCAAUGAGAGAGAUACCUCACAGGAUCACAUAAAGAUUUCAGGUGUUAUGGCACAGGAUGAACAGAGAGAUGUGCAGAAAAGGGCCUGAGGUAACUGUCAGACUGUCAGUUAAUCAUCUCCAUUAGCCGCUUCAGUCGCACACCAAUCGCAGGGCUGACAACGAUGGACACUCACAUCCCUACAGGCGAUUUGGAGUCACCAAUUAACCUGAUCCCCAAAGCAUGUCGUUAGACUGUGGGAGGAAGCCACAGUACCCGGACAGAACCCAGGCAGACAUGGGAUGAACAUGUAGCCUCCUAAAGGCCGCUAGGUGGAGUCAAACCCAGGAUCGUCUUGCUGAGAGGCGACAGCGCUAACCACCACACCACCUGCCGCUCCUGAGCUACUUCCAUCAUUCUAGGUAUAUUUGAAUGGGUAAGUAACACAAAUACAUUUUUGUUAAAUUACAUGGAUACUGAUAAUAAUAGCUGUAGUGUAUGUAGUAGAAUAACAAUAAAAGUGGCAACAUACGUAUAUAUGGAGCCUUUAUUUUAGAUAAUAAAUGAUUCAAUCGUCUUGAUAGAAACUGUUCAGUUUUAAAAAGAAAAGAAAAGCCUCUUUGAAUAGCAUGGUGUUUGAUGUGGGCCUUUUCCCCCUCAUGACAUGUUUGAAACAUUUUCUCUUGAGCUCUGACCUAUGCAGAGCAUCCAUAACCUCUUUAUAAAGAAUUUUAGUUAUAUCUUUAAGCAAGGCAUUGGAGCUAGCAUGGUACCAUGUCUUUCCAGGAUUAAAGGUGGGGUGUUCAUAUUUUCUCACUGGUUUGAGAUAGGUUCAAAAAUUUGAAACAAUUGAGUGAUCAUUGACCCGACCAAUCGGCGUUUUGAAGAAGAAAUCAUACAUUCUCCUUUUCAUAAAUAGCCACUUGCAUCUUAGCAUAGAAAUCGUGUCACGAGAUGUGCUCUGUAGCCCAAAAAUAAAAAGUUGGAGAAGUCCCCCGUCAAAAGGUUUCUACAAUUUGCCCAUGAACAGUCUGAGACGUGGGAAUAAAGAAUCCCAUAGUGACAAACCUUCUGUCUGUUAUUCUAAACCUGUAUUAAAGGCAUUCCUCCGCUGACAGCGUGCUAUGCUGUCUGUGCAUGAAAGACUUUUAGGAGUGCCUUAUCACAGCGUUAAAAGUGUCUUUGUUUAGAGAACCUGCCUCGUAAAUUUGUCCCGCCCUUGUUGUCCAAAAUGGUCCUGAACCUGUUUUCACUGACACCUUGUUUGCUCCAGCAGCUUAAAGUAACCAUUCCCACAUGUCAGAGUUAAAGUUUAGUAGGCACAGUCCUCUAAUGUGCCUGUAUGGGCAGGAAUGAACUAGCCAACAAGUUGCCUGUCUGCUACAGUGAGGGAACGCUUGAUGGGAGGGGAUAUCACAUUCCUUGUCGUUUUCACACACAGACGGAACAAGCACAAGAGGAAUGAAUGCUAUCUUAUCAGAGCGUGCACUCGAGGUGAUGCAUAGGCUGUGUUACACCAUGUGUGUCUGCAAUGACUCCUUUGUUUUCAUCUGCUUGCCGUUUGGGUCAGCAGGUUAAUGCUGCUGGGCUGUUGCUUUGAACAUGUGGAAUCUUCUGUUUAACACUCAGGACGCUGUGCAGCACCUCCUCCGCCUCCCUCAGGUUUCCGCCAGUGCCACUGAACAUUCAAUAGACUUUCGUAUAUUGGCCAGAGUCCGGGAGAGAGCGCUGAAGGGGGUUUAUCUCAACAGUCUUGGGGACGGAUGGAAUGAUGAGCUAGCCUUUUAGAGGCUGCCUAACACUAGUGGACCUUAUUGCUCUCACAAUCCAACUGGAUACUUGGAUGCGGCAGCGUCGGAGAGCCGAACUACAGGGUUCCAUCACCAGUUCAUUCACAGAGUGGCCGAUCCCCUCCAGCCAGAAGAAACUCCAGGAGUUCCUUGGCUUUGCAAAUUUCUACCGUUCAUUCGAAACUAUAGCCAGACGGCGUUGCCCCUAACUCGACUCACCUCCCCUACGGUGGAAUUUUCGUGGAUCCCCAAAGCCUGCCUGUAACGGAAUGGUUCACUUCAGCCCCCAUCCCCGCCCUGCCAGACGAAAGUCGCCAGUUUUUGGUCAAGUGGGACGCCUCCGACACCAGCGUAAAGGCAGUGUUAUCCCAACACUCAACCCCUGACUCUAAGCUCUGCCUGUGUGCUUUUUUCUACCGCCCCCUUUACCUGUACGUGCGUCACUGGCUCUGGAGGACUGAAGACAUUGGCUGGAGGGGUCAGUCCACACUUCCAUUGUGUGGACCGACCACCGAAAUCUUGAGCCUCACACAGACCUCGUGUUGGAUUACUACAACCGGUUCCUGUUCCCCACAUGCCCUGGUCGCACAUGGCACUGGACUUUGUCACAGGAUUUCCCUCGUUGGAUAACAAUACAGUUAUGCUGAUCCUUGUGGAAGACGAUUGCCAUCCCGUAUGUUCAGAGCAAUUUUCGCUGAUGUUCUACUUCGGGAACAAACAGCUAGCCGACCGCCGCAGCACACCCGUCCCCACAUACCUCCCCAGCCAACGUGUCUGGCUUUCCGCUAAGGACAUACCCCUGCGCACUGAAUCUAAGAAACUCUCUCCCAGAUACAUUGGUCCUUUCCCCAUUACUUCAAUUGUCAACCCACUCACAGUUAAAUUGUGAUUGCUCUUGCAAUCCCUGAGGAUCCACCAGUGUUCCAUGUGUCCCUUCUGAAGCCGUCAUCGACGUCGCCUGGAUGUCCGCCGGCAAGACAGGGGUCUAAUACCCUGUAGUUUGGCGUCGAACCUCAGGUUUCACCUGGCCGAAGAAGUCUGCCAGCUUGUUCCUCGGAGAUCAGCUGUGCAACUCAUCAGCUCCUGUGUCGAGCCUGCCUGCCUGCCUGCCUGUCUGCCUUCUAGCCGCGGAAGCCCCAAGUCCACCUUCCGGGUAGAACCAGAGCAGAGCACACGGGAUUGCAUACAUCGUCACGUGACUGUUUCCUGCUGGCUUUUCUGGAACUCUCAACAUGACUUUUCAUGUUUGAUUCCUGUUACCUUUCCUCCGCCACAAACAAUAA